RNAcentral lists this transfer RNA (95 nucleotides) under Pseudomonas syringae pv. papulans. RNAcentral describes it as "tRNA-Arg". The stretch from base 1 to 65 matches the Rfam family "tRNA". Rfam says of the family: Transfer RNA (tRNA) molecules are approximately 80 nucleotides in length. Their secondary structure includes four short double-helical elements and three loops (D, anti-codon, and T loops). Lineage: Bacteria; Pseudomonadati; Pseudomonadota; Gammaproteobacteria; Pseudomonadales; Pseudomonadaceae. The record is from RNAcentral.
CAGUAGCUCAAUUGGAUAGAGCAUCCCCCUCCUAAGGGGAAGGUUGCAGGUUCUUAUCUGUGGUACGUAUUGGGUGCGCAACCCUGCACUGCUUU